UACGGAGGAUGCGAGCGUUAUCCGGAUUUACUGGGUGUAAAGGGAGCGUAGACGGUGCAGCAAGUCUGAUGUGAAAGGUCGGGGCCCAACCCCGGGACUGCAUUGGAAACUGUUGAACUGGAGUACAGGAGAGGUAAGCGGAAUUCCUAGUGUAGCGGUGAAAUGCGUAGAUAUUAGGAGGAACACCAGUGGCGAAGGCGGCUUACUGGACUGCAACUGACACUGAGGCUCGAAAGUGUGGGUAUCAAACAGG
This 253-nucleotide ribosomal RNA is filed under the name uncultured Eubacteriales bacterium. Its description in RNAcentral is "uncultured Clostridiales bacterium partial 16S ribosomal RNA". It matches the Rfam family "Bacterial small subunit ribosomal RNA", at positions 524 to 776 of the family's 1533-position model. The record is from RNAcentral. Lineage: Bacteria; Bacillati; Bacillota; Clostridia; Eubacteriales.